UAGAGUUUGAUCAUGGCUCAGAAUCAACGCUGGCGGCGUGCCUCAGACAUGCAAGUCGAACGAUUAAAGCCCUCUUCGGAGGGUGUAUAAAGUGGCGCACGGGUGAGUAACACGUAAGUAAUCUACCCUCGGGUGGGGAAUAACAACCGGAAACGGUUGCUAAUACCGCAUAAUGCAGCGGCUCCUUAUGGAGACAGUUGUUAAAGGAUUUAUUCGCCUGAGGAGGAGCUUGCGGCAAAUUAGCUAGUUGGUAAGGUAAUGGCUUACCAAGGCUACGAUCUGUAGCCGGUCUAAGAGGACGGUCGGUCACACUGACACUGAAUAACGGGUCAGACUCCUACGGGAGGCAGCAGUCGGGAAUUUUGGGCAAUGGGCGAAAGCCUGACCCAGCAACGCCGCGUGAAGGAUGAAGUAUUUCGGUAUGUAAACUUCGAAAGAAUAGGAAGAAUUAAUGACGGUACUAUUUAUAAGGUCCGGCUAACUACGUGCCAGCAGCCGCGGUAAUACGUAGGGACCAAGCGUUGUUCGGAUUUACUGGGCGUAAAGGGCGCGUAGGCGGCAUGACAAGUCACUUGUGAAAUCUCUGGGCUUAACUCAGAACGGCCAAGUGAUACUGUCGCGCUAGAGUGCAGAAAGGGCAAUCGGAAUUCUUGGUGUAGCGGUGGAAUGCGUAGAUAUCAAGAGGAACACCUGAGGCGAAGGCGGGUUGCUAG
This 713-nucleotide ribosomal RNA is filed under the name uncultured Acidobacteriota bacterium. RNAcentral describes it as "bacterial SSU rRNA". It matches the Rfam family "Bacterial small subunit ribosomal RNA", at positions 1 to 732 of the family's 1533-position model. The record is from RNAcentral. Lineage: Bacteria; Pseudomonadati; Acidobacteriota.